RNAcentral lists this ribosomal RNA (301 nucleotides) under uncultured bacterium. Its description in RNAcentral is "partial 16S ribosomal RNA". It matches the Rfam family "Bacterial small subunit ribosomal RNA", at positions 509 to 807 of the family's 1533-position model. The record is from RNAcentral.
CAGUCGCCACGGGAAUACGGAGGGUGCAAGCGUUACUCGGAAUCACUGGGCGUAAAGGACGCGUAGGCGGAUUAUCAAGUCUCUUGUGAAAUCUAACGGCUUAACCGUUAAACUGCUUGGGAAACUGAUAAUCUAGAGUAAGGGAGAGGCAGAUGGAAUUCUUGGUGUAGGGGUAAAAUCCGUAGAUAUCAAGAAGAAUACCUAUUGCGAAGGCGAUCUGCUGGAACUUAACCGACGCUAAUGCGUGAAAGCGUGGGGAGCAAACAGGAUUAGAUACCCCCGUAGUCCCUGUCUCUUAUAC